Molecule: small RNA, 427 nt
Filed under: Pongo abelii (Sumatran orangutan)
Lineage: Eukaryota; Metazoa; Chordata; Mammalia; Primates; Hominidae
Description: retained intron
Source: RNAcentral
GUUGCUAUAUGAUUUUUUUCUUAUAGCUGUCACAAGAUGAAGGUAGAGGCACAUUAUACAAAUACAGACCUGAAGAAGUAGAUAUUGAUGUAAGUAUUAGUAUGAUAUGUAUUGUCAGUACUCUGUCGUAUUCUCUGCCAAAAACACUGGAAAUAAGCAUGACCAAAAAACUUCUUUCUCCAAAGUCCUCCAAAGUGACAUCAGAUAAAUUCAUAUUUUAUGUGUGUGCUCUAAAUUAUUAUUCCCUGCCCUCUGCGUCCCACUGCUCCCUAUUGUUAGCAGUCCAACGCAUUAAGCAUCACUUAAAUGAAAGUAAAAACUGUUUCUGAUUUUUAGAAGUUACAGAUUGGCUGGUCUCGACCUCCUGACCUCAGGUCACCCACCCACUUUGGCCUCCCAAAGUGCAGAGAUUACGGGGGUGAGCCAC